GGAAAUAUGUCUGACAAAAGAACUACUUUGAUAGAGUAAACAACAGAGGUUAAAAUCCUCUUAUUUCUA
Transfer RNA from Homo sapiens (human), 69 nucleotides. It matches the Rfam family "tRNA". From Rfam's summary of the family: Transfer RNA (tRNA) molecules are approximately 80 nucleotides in length. Their secondary structure includes four short double-helical elements and three loops (D, anti-codon, and T loops). The record is from Rfam. Lineage: Eukaryota; Metazoa; Chordata; Mammalia; Primates; Hominidae.